RNAcentral lists this transfer RNA (66 nucleotides) under Peltoperlopsis cebuano. Its description in RNAcentral is "tRNA-Leu". Lineage: Eukaryota; Metazoa; Arthropoda; Insecta; Plecoptera; Peltoperlidae. The record is from RNAcentral.
UCUACUUUGGCAGAUAAGUGUGUUAGAUUUAGGAUCUUUUUAUGUGAAUGAUUUUCACAGGUAGAA